Molecule: ribosomal RNA, 497 nt
Filed under: uncultured bacterium
Lineage: Bacteria
Description: partial 16S ribosomal RNA
Rfam family: Bacterial small subunit ribosomal RNA
Source: RNAcentral
GACGAACGCUGGCGGCGUGCCUAAUACAUGCAAGUUGAGCGAUGAAGAUUGGUGCUUGCACCCAUUUGAAGAGCAGCGAACGGGUGAGUAACGCGUGGGGAAUCUGCCUUUGAGCGGGGGACAACAUUUGGAAACGAAUGCUAAUACCGCAUAACAACUUUAAACAUAAGUUUUAAGUUUGAAAGAUGCAAUUGCAUCACUCAAAGAUGAUCCCGCGUUGUAUUAGCUAGUUGGUGAGGUAAAGGCUCACCAAGGCGAUGAUACAUAGCCGACCUGAGGGGGUGAUCGGCCACAUUGGGACUGAGACACGGCCCAAACUCCUACGGGAGGCAGCAGUAGGGAAUCUUCGGCAAUGGACGAAAGUCUGGCCGAGCAACGCCGCGUGAGUGAAGAAGGUUUUCGGAUCGUAAAACUCUGUUGGUAGAGAAGAACGUUGGUGAGAGUGGAAAGCUCAUCAAGUGACGGUAACUACCCAGAAAGGGACGGCUAACUACGUG